RNAcentral lists this long non-coding RNA (1092 nucleotides) under Rattus norvegicus (Norway rat). Its description in RNAcentral is "long non-coding RNA NONRATT016973". The record is from RNAcentral. Lineage: Eukaryota; Metazoa; Chordata; Mammalia; Rodentia; Muridae.
CUUUAGGAGAAAUCGAUACAAGAUUCUCAUUUUGUGCAGUGGCAACUUUGGCUCUCUUGGGCAAACUUGAUGCUAUUAAUGUGGAAAAGGCCAUUGAAUUUGUUUUGUCCUGUAUGAACUUUGAUGGUGGAUUUGGGUGCAGACCAGGCUCUGAAUCUCACGCCGGACAGGAUUCCUGGCCAUAACUAGUCAGUUGCAUCAAGUGAACUCCGACCUACUUGGUUGGUGGCUUUGUGAACGACAGUUGCCCUCUGGCGGACUCAAUGGAAGACCCGAGAAGGUAUUAUUUGUAGUGGUUCUUCCUGCUGUGGGCUUAAAACUGCACUGUGUUUCUUGGGUGAUUUUAAGAUGAUACCUUAAGGAGAGAACUUGGGGUCUCACUGACCUGAAUUCAUUUCUGCCUUGGGACGUGGAUAGGUGCUGUCUUUCUACCACAGCAUGCUCAAAAGCCCAGCUUGUAAUUUAACCACAUCACCUGGGAGGCACAGGCAAGAAGUCUUUUGAGUUUGAAGCUAGCCUACUCUAUUUAGGGGGACCCAAUCAAUUAAUAAAUAAAAAUGGGUGGUGAACACUUCAAGUGUUGCUAAUCUGAGCUCCAGAUCUAUAUAGUUAGUUUCUGUGUAGAGCUUGCUUUGUGAGAGGGUCAGAGAACGCGAAUUUUCCUUGUGGGGAUGCCCCCACAGAUAGUAUCUGAACAGGACUGGAGUCUUAAGCUAGUAACUGAACAGUUGGGCUAAAACCUAGAAACUUCAUGUGCCUGCUAGUCAUUCUCGGGCUCAGUAGGUUGUUGAGGCUGAUCUGUAGGAACUGAGGCCUCUGUGCCGUCUCAGCCAGCUGAUGAGCUUCUACCUGGUUGGAAAUGGCCCCGCCUAGGACUUAAGCCCUGGGUUUCACCCGUGACCUCAGCUGUGCAUGGAGUGAAGAUGUUCUUUACAAAGACAAGUAAAUUGAUUGCCAGCCUACAGUCCUGGCGUGCGUUGAGAAACAAUGCAUGGGAGCUGGUCUCAGUCCUUUCUGUGUUUUCAGUUACCAUCCUAUGCAUGGCUGAAGCUGUUCUAAACUGUAGUGAUUGUGCUGCCCCAGACUAUUGUC